Suricata suricatta (meerkat) is the source of this 862-nucleotide long non-coding RNA. RefSeq lists it as uncharacterized. The transcript is spliced from 3 exons. Lineage: Eukaryota; Metazoa; Chordata; Mammalia; Carnivora; Herpestidae. The record is from RefSeq and is a predicted model, not a curated record.
CCUGGACUGUUAUAACAAAUGUCAUAGAGUCUGGGGGCUUAAACAAUAGAUGAUUAUUUUCUCGUUGUUCUGGAAGUUGAAGUUCAAGAUCAGUGUGCCACCACAGGUUCUUGGGAUUUGUGGAGCAAUUUUGAAAGUCAAGUCAGAGAACCUUGGAAUUCGUAUGCAGGCAAUUUGUACCAAGUUGUCAGCGCCAGCAGUGGAUGUUUUAAUGUAUGUGCACAUAAUUCUCCCAUAUGAGAUAUGAUCUCAUUCACGUUUUGAGUGUGAAGAAAGGAUUCGGAAGGAGCAUGGGGCCAGGGAUGUUUUUCCCAACACCAGUACAUCUGCACAUUGAGAGGAGGAGCCUGCAUUAGUUAUCUGUUGCUGUUUGCCUCUGCUUUAUGAUAUCUGGGGCCGCAGCUGGAGGAUUCAGAGAUGAGGAGGCUGAAACCAUCUACAGGCUUGAUGCAGGUAGGAGAACCCGCUUCCAAGGAGGCUCACUCAUGCAGCGGGCUACUUGGUGCUGCUCCACCUGAGCCUCUUGAUACAGGAACAUGUCUACACGAGGACAUGCUCACCAGGCUGCUGGAGCGUCAACAUGGUGCUUAGCUUCUCCCAGAGUGAGUGAGCUGACCGAGACAAACGCAGACCUCUCCCCUUUUGCCUGAACCUGCUGACAAAGCAGGCCCUCCAACCUGAUCCUUCAACUUCCUAUUCUUUGCCUCACAUUUGAUUAGCUAAAAUUAGAACUGCUUUGUUCCCUUGUAAGCAGCUCACCAGAAAAAACUUCUCCUCUUUGGAUAACUAAGACUUCUGCUGGCAAAAAAAAAUCCCAGACUGUAAAUCUGUAACUUGUUACCCCUUCCUAUAAAGCCAUCCU